This is an RNA transcript of Mesocricetus auratus (golden hamster), 2913 nucleotides long. It is a transcript of the gene named family with sequence similarity 185 member A, with no coding region annotated. The record is from RefSeq and is a predicted model, not a curated record. The transcript has 9 exons. Lineage: Eukaryota; Metazoa; Chordata; Mammalia; Rodentia; Cricetidae.
CGGGCUGGUCCUGCCCCCGGCAGCCCGGUCCUUCGGCGCAGCGCUGAGGCCGGUGCCCGGCUGCUUCCCGCUCUGCGCGGCCGGGGCCCGAGGGCGGCGGGCAUGUUCCGCCGCCUCCUGCCUGGCGCGCCCCGGGCGCGGGCGGGCGCCUGGUUCGGGGCUCUAGGGGCCCGCAGGCGCGGCUCGGACGCGGGGUGGCGGGCAUCGGCCCCCGAGGAGGCCGUGAGGGAGUGGACGCUGCCCGUGGGCCCGUUCGGACGGCUGAGGACGCGGCUGCCGUGCCGCCUGCUCGUGAGGCCCCUGGAUCCCCUGGCGGCCCGGGACGGCGGCCGCGUGCGGGUGGCGGUGUGCGGCGCGGGGCGCGGGGCGAGCGGCCUGGACGGCCUGCGGGUGGAGUACGACGCGGCUCGGCAGGAGGUGGCCGUCCUGUCGGACGACAUCGACCCGCGGGCGGCGGUGGAGGUGGACGCGCCCCCCACCUUUGAUCUGAGUAUCGAGUCUUCAGGGUCUGGCUCUGUAAAGGUGCAGAAUAUUGAAUGUGACAGCUGUAAAAUUGACACUGCGCAGGGGACCAGCGUCUUGCAGUCUGUGAAGAGCCAAAACUUACAUGUUCAAACAAAAGGAGGCAAUGUGACCUGUCUGGGAACAAUUUACGGAAAUGUAGAUAUUCGUGCAUCACAUCAAAGUACUGUGACCAUAGAUAAACUUCAGGGAAGUUGUGUUAAUAUAUCUACAGAGGAUGGUUUGCUGAAAGUCAAGUCUCUUUAUACAGAAUCGUCAUUUCUGACUUCUGCUACCGGGGAUAUUGCACUAGGAAAUGUUCACGGAAAUGUCACAUUACAAAGCAAGAUGGGUAAUAUUACAGUUGGUUCGUCCUCAGGAUGUCUGAAGGCCUCAAGUCAUCAGGGUGCCAUAGAUGUUUAUGUCAGCCAGCUGGGGGAAGUGGCACUGACGUCACAGGAAGGCGCUAUCACUGUCAAGGCCCCAUCUUCUUUACAAGCUUCUUUAAAGUUGUCAGGGAUAGAGGUGGUUAUGGACCCAGAAGCUCAUGUUCAGGAAAUGGCCGAAGACCGUGAAGGUGGUGGUGUGACAGUUUCAGGUGUCACUGAAAACUAAGUCUAGGUUGUAUACCUCCUGAAGUGGUUGGUCGGUAUCAUGAGGUACUCUGUGGUCACUCAGGCUGAAGUGCCAGCUGCUGAGACUCGCUGCGUUCUCUGAGUGCAUUCUCCAAUUUCCAUGAGCAUCUUGAUGCUGCUUUGUGUGCUGCCCAUAAAUGGCAAGGACUCAUGAAUCAAGCCAGCAGAUGUGGACGGUGGAUAAAGGCUGUUGCCCCUAAAGGCACUGUAAGUUUUAAACAUCAGAGCUGGUUUCAGUCUCUGAAACUGCAGGACUAAGAAAGACUUCAGCUGUGUUUAUUAGUUUUAGUGUGGACUAACAGACCGUUGAGUAUAAAAAUGCAGACACCAGCCAGUAUUCAUAUGAAUGUCACAAACAACGGCAUUAGCAGGGAAUACUGGUGAGCUUUCUCAGGGAGACUUUUGCAAAAUGUGCACUUAGUUGUAGAAUUCAUUUUCUGUUGCUAUGUUCCAAAUUACAGAACCCCCAAAGUGUGUUCUAAGGCCUCUGAUGAUGCCUGAAGCCACAGACGGUGUCAGCCGCCGUCCACUGUAGCUUUUCAUAAACACACAUGCCAGCUGAAUGCCCUUUCUGCUCGGCUAAGCAUGAUGUGCCCUGGUGAGUACUUACCUGGUGGUUCCAAUAGCAGAUAGCGGCUUCCUUUCCCUUUCUUACCACUCCACACAAGCGCACCCUCCCUGACUGUAGGGCGAGCCCCUCAGCGCAUCAUUUGUUUUGUUUAACUAAGUUGAGAACUUUUACCUUUUUCCUUAAAGCAUUUUGUGGCUUCUCUUUGUCAGGCCCAUGCAAAUAUCACUAUGGUUGUGCUUUAAGAUAACUGCGACGAUGGUUGGAUGGCCAGGGUGGCUACCUAGUGACAACAGACACAUGUAGCAUGCACAUGCAUAGCAAAGCGAUGAUUCACAUCCUCGUGCUACUUCAGGUGACACAUAGUUUAAAACAUAUGCAUUGCUUAUUUCUCAACUUUAUCCACUCUAAGUUACUGAAGAAAUAGAAAACAAAUCCUUGGAUGGGGGCAAGAGAACGGCUCUACCACACAUUUAAUGACUUCAGACCACUGUCUUAGCAGCUGAUGGUUGGUACUGUUGGCCUUGUGCUCAGUGUCACAUAGCUGAAAUAAAGAUGUUGACCCAUCUGGGAUAUUAUGUAUAGACCGUGGCGAGAACUCUCUCAAGUUCUCUCACAUUAUAGAAAAAAUCAAAUUCCUUAUGCCUGUACGACAUCAUUUUUCUUGCUGGCUUCCACAAACAAUCUCUCCUUCUAAAGACUACCUACAUGUCAUCUCCUUCCUCAUGUGGGCCCUCUGUCUUCAAGUAAAACACAUGGAGUCCUUCUCACGCUCUGAAUGUCUGACUUUCUUGUAAACUCGACAAGUCUCUGCUUGGUUGGCCAAGAUAUUUAACAUGAUCAUGGGAAUAUCACAUCGCAUCCACAGCUCCCACUCAAGAGAUGACUAUGUGAAGGCACCAUUGUUGGAGUCACCUUAGGUUGUUGUAUUGUAGCACCAAAGGUGCACAGUUUCUUGUUGUGAAUAAAACACUUACCAUGUAGGUGAAGCCGGUGCCUCUGAUUUUACUGUAUCUAGUGUGGGUUGUGAUGUACCUCACUGUGGGAUGUAUGGAGAUACAAAUACACUUAAUAAAAUAAGCAGUGCUUUAUAGAUUUAUUCUGUGGACUCAAAACCAUACUGAACAGAUCAAUUUGGUGGAUUAUGUAUUUUGAUUUGGAUAAAUCAGUAAUUAAACACAGAUUUCAAAUAAACAUUUCUAAUUACAA